ACUCACCGCUAGCCCGCAGCGCUCGGCUUCCUGGUAACUCUUCACCUCUUCUCUCAGCUCCCGGCAGCAUGGGUCCUGGGCCCGCCUCGCUGCUCGCCGCCCUCCUGCUGCUUCUCUCCGGCGACCGCGCCGUGCGCUGCGACACACCUGCCAACUGCACCUAUCUUGACCUGCUGGGUACCUGGGUCUUCCAGGACCACAAGAAAAAAAAGUAGUGGUGCACCUUCAGAAGCUGGAUACAGCAUAUGAUGACCUUGGCAAUUCUGGCCAUUUCACCAUCGUUUACAACCAAGGCUUUGAGAUUGUGUUGAAUGACUACAAGUGGUUUGCCUUUUUUAAGUAUAAAGAAGAGGGCAGCAAGGUGACCACUUACUGCAACGAGACAAUGACUGGGUGGGUGCAUGAUGUGUUGGGCCGGAACUGGGCUUGUUUCACCGGAAAGAAGGUGGGAACUGCCUCUGAGAAUGUGUAUGUGAACACAGCACACCUUAAGAAUUCUCAGGAAAAGUAUUCUAAUAGGCUCUACAAAUAUGAUCACAACU
RNAcentral lists this small RNA (542 nucleotides) under Pongo abelii (Sumatran orangutan). RNAcentral's name for it is "processed transcript". The record is from RNAcentral. Lineage: Eukaryota; Metazoa; Chordata; Mammalia; Primates; Hominidae.